Molecule: ribosomal RNA, 1483 nt
Filed under: uncultured bacterium
Lineage: Bacteria
Description: bacterial SSU rRNA
Rfam family: Bacterial small subunit ribosomal RNA
Source: RNAcentral
AGGGUUUGAUCCUGGCUCAGGACGAACGCUGGCGGCGUGCCUCAUACAUGCAAGUCGAGCGAAGGGUUAUGAAUUUAUUCAUAACGACUUAGCGGCGGACGGGUGAGUAACACGUGAACAACCUGCCCUUCAGACAGGGAUAACAGUGGGAAACUGCUGCUAAUACCCGAUAUAAUUUAUUAAUAGCAUUAUUAAUAAAUGAAAGGCUAUGUGCUGAAGGAUGGGUUCGCGUUCCAUUAGUUAGUUGGCGGGGUAACGGCCUACCAAGACGAUGAUGGAUAGCCGACCUGAGAGGGUGACCGGCCACAUAGGAACUGAGACACGGUCCUAACUCCUACGGGGGGCAGCAGUCGGGGAUAUUGCACAAUGGAGGAAACUCUGAUGCAGCGACGCCGCGUGAGCGAAGAAGGUCUUCGGAUUGUAAAGCUCUGAUGCGAGAGAUGAAGGAAGUGACAGUAUCUCGCCAGCAAGCACCGGCUAACUACGUGCCAGCAGCCGCGGUAAUACGUAGGGUGCAAGCGUUGUCCGGAAUUACUGGGCGUAAAGGGAGCGCAGGUGGUUAUUUAAGUCAAUAGUAAAAGGCAUGGGCUUAACCCAUGUAAGCUAGUGAAACUAAAUAACUUGAGUAUGGUAGAGGUAAGCGGAAUUCCUAGUGUAGCGGUGAAAUGCGUAGAUAUUAGGAGGAACACCAGUGGCGAAGGCGGCUUACUGGGCCAUAACUGACACUGAGGCUCGAAAGCGUGGGGAGCAAACAGGAUUAGAUACCCUGGUAGUCCACGCCGUAAACGAUGAGUGCUAGGUGUCGGGGGUUUAGAUACCCUCGGUGCUGUAGUUAACGCAAUAAGCACUCCGCCUGGGGAGUACGAUCGCAAGAUUGAAACUCAAAGGAAUUGACGGGGGCCCGCACAAGCAGCGGAGCAUGUGGUUUAAUUCGAAGCAACGCGAAGAACCUUACCAAGUCUUGACAUCCUCUGAUCGCUAUAGAAAUAUAGCUUUCCCUUUGGGACAGAGAGACAGGUGGUGCACGGUUGUCGUCAGCUCGUGUCGUGAGAUGUUGGGUUAAGUCCCGCAACGAGCGCAACCCUUGUGUUUAGUUGCCAGCACGUAAUGGUGGGGACUCUAGACAGACUGCCGGUGACAAACCGGAGGAAGGUGGGGAUGACGUCAAAUCAGCAUGCCCUUUAUGACUUGGGCUACACACGUGCUACAAUGGUUCGUACAAAGAGAAGCGAAGUCGCGAGGCUAAGCGGAUCUCAUAAAGCGAAUCUCAGUUCGGAUUGCAGGCUGCAACUCGCCUGCAUGAAGUUGGAGUUGCUAGUAAUCGUAGGUCAGCAAUACUACGGUGAAUACGUUCCCGGGCCUUGUACACACCGCCCGUCACACCACGAGAGUUAGUAACACCCGAAGCCGGUGGCCAAACCGCAAGGAUGGAGCCGUCGAAGGUGGGAUUAGCGAUUGGGGUGAAGUCGUAACAAGGUAGCCG